This 531-nucleotide ribosomal RNA is filed under the name Peplomyza litura. RNAcentral's name for it is "partial 16S ribosomal RNA". It matches the Rfam family "Bacterial large subunit ribosomal RNA", at positions 1888 to 2624 of the family's 2925-position model. The record is from RNAcentral. Lineage: Eukaryota; Metazoa; Arthropoda; Insecta; Diptera; Lauxaniidae.
GGGGAACUGAUAUGACGGUCUACCUGGCCCACUGAAAAUUUUUAAAUGGCCGCAGUAUAUUAACUGUGCAAAGGUAGCAUAAUCAUUAGUCUUUUAAUUGAAGGCUGGAAUGAAUGGUUGGACGUAAUAUUAACUGUUUCAAAUUAAAUUAAAUUAGAACUUUAUUUUUUAGUAAAAAAGCUAAAAUUUUAUUAAAAGACGAGAAGACCCUAUAAAUCUUUAUAAUUUGUUUAUUUUAAUUAUAAAGAAUAAUUUUAUUAUAAUAAAUUAAAUUAUUUUAUUGGGGUGAUAUUAAAAUUUAAUAAACUUUUAAUUUAUUAAAUCAUUAAUUUAUGAAUAAUUGAUCCAAUUUUAUUGAUUAAAAAUUUAAGUUACUUUAGGGAUAACAGCGUAAUUUUUUUGGAGAGUUCAUAUCGAUAAAAAAGAUUGCGACCUCGAUGUUGGAUUAAGAGAUAAGUUUAGGGGUAGCCAUUUAAACGUUAAGUCUGUUCGACUUUUAAAUUCUUACGUGAUCUGAGUCCCAGACCGGGA